This 757-nucleotide ribosomal RNA is filed under the name uncultured bacterium. RNAcentral describes it as "bacterial SSU rRNA". It matches the Rfam family "Bacterial small subunit ribosomal RNA", at positions 47 to 789 of the family's 1533-position model. The record is from RNAcentral.
UUUUAAUUGAUAUGAAGAGCUUGCUCUGAUUUGAUUUUAUCUGACAAAGAGUGGCGAACGGGUGAGUAACACGUGGGUAACCUACCUCUUAGCAGGGGAUAACUUUUGGAAACAAGUGCUAAUACCGUAUAACACUAACAACCGCAUGGUUGUUAGUUGAAAGAUGGUUCUGCUAUCACUAAGAGAUGGACCCGCGGUGCAUUAGCUAGUUGGUAAGGUAAUGGCUUACCAAGGCGAUGAUGCGUAGCCGAGUUGAGAGACUGAUCGGCCACAAUGGGACUGAGACACGGCCCAUACUCCUACGGGAGGCAGCAGUAGGGAAUCUUCCACAAUGGGCGCAAGCCUGAUGGAGCAACGCCGCGUGUGUGAUGAAGGGUUUCGGCUCGUAAAACACUGUUAUAAGAGAAGAACGACAUUGAGAGUAACUGUUCAGUGUGUGACGGUAUCUUAUCAGAAAGGAACGGCUAAAUACGUGCCAGCAGCCGCGGUAAUACGUAUGUUCCAAGCGUUAUCCGGAUUUAUUGGGCGUAAAGCGAGCGCAGACGGUUAUUUAAGUCUGAAGUGAAAGCCCUCAGCUCAACUGAGGAAGGGCUUUGGAAACUGGAUAACUUGAGUGCAGUAGAGGAAAGUGGAACUCCAUGUGUAGCGGUGAAAUGCGUAGAUAUAUGGAAGAACACCGGUGGCGAAAGCGGCUUUCUGGACUGUAACUGACGUUGAGGCUCGAAAGUGUGGGUAGCAAACAGGAUUAGAUACCCUG